Molecule: unclassified non-coding RNA, 306 nt
Filed under: plant metagenome
Description: partial contains 5.8S ribosomal RNA, internal transcribed spacer 2, and large subunit ribosomal RNA
Rfam family: 5.8S ribosomal RNA (bases 1-105)
Source: RNAcentral
GAAAUGCGAUAAGUAAUGUGAAUUGCAGAAUUCAGUGAAUCAUCGAAUCUUUGAACACACAUUGCGCCCGCCAGCACUCUGGCGGGCAUGCCUGUUCGAGCGUCAUUUCAACCAUCAAGCCCCCGGGCUUGUGUUGGGGACCUGCGGCUGCCCGCAGGCCCUGAAAACCAGUGGCGGGCUCGCUGUCACACCGAGCGUAGUAGCAAUCACCUCGCUCAGGGCGUGCUGCGGGUUCCGGCCGUUAAACAGCCUUACAAAACCCAAGGUUGACCUCGGAUCAGGUAGGAAGACCCGCUGAACUUAAGC